AACUGAAUACCAAAUAGUUCUGGACUAUUUGUUUUAUUCAUAUUCCGUACUUGCAGACGACUGUGAUAGGUUGAUUAUAGAGAAAUGUAUCUCCGACCUCCUCCUGAACUACGGGUACAGCUGGAAGCUGAACCUGAACAAGAUAAUCCUGGUUUUAACCAACUAAAGAGCUGACCCAAAACUAAUUUUCAAUCCCAAGUUUUACCAGGAACAUUUUAAGAAAACUCCUCCUAAGUCCAGCAUUCAGAUUUCCUGUUCUUGAACCAGGACCUCCUUUAGCUCCUCAUGCCAUGCUCCACACCUUCAAGCUGAUAAAG
Long non-coding RNA from Eurytemora carolleeae, 317 nucleotides. RefSeq lists it as uncharacterized. The record is from RefSeq and is a predicted model, not a curated record. The transcript is spliced from 3 exons. NCBI's taxonomy places the organism in Eukaryota, Metazoa, Arthropoda, Copepoda, Calanoida, Temoridae.